RNAcentral lists this long non-coding RNA (1587 nucleotides) under Homo sapiens (human). RNAcentral's name for it is "HSALNT0383648". The record is from RNAcentral. Lineage: Eukaryota; Metazoa; Chordata; Mammalia; Primates; Hominidae.
UCUCAAGAAGCUCACAUCUAGGAUCAAGUAGCGUGGAGACCACUGAGACCCAGCCACUGGAGACCAUUAGCCUAGGGAGGUCAUUGGUGUCCUUGCCAAGCCCUGUUUUGGUUCUGGGUCCAGGAGACAGAGUGUAGUCAGAGGAGAGGAAUCACAGACAGCCCAGUGCAGACAACAGGCAACUCUUUCAAGGAGUCAUCUUAUAAAGCAACUAGAACAGUACCUGGCAGACACAAGACACGUAAUACAUAUUUUUGAAUGAGGAACUUGGCUCCAGAAGCCAUGAGAAUAACUUUGUUCCAACACAUUCAGGCUGCGGUCAGAAAGGGUGAGCUGGAAGCAGUGAGCUGGGAGAUAAUGAAACCAAAACACCAUUAUCAGGAAGCUUGAGAACAAGGCCACCUUUUAAGUAUCUAGAAAUUCCCAUUAAUUUCUUCCACACCUUGUUCCCCAUCCCACCUGAAGACUGAAGCUGAGAGGCUUUUUUCCCAGUCAUCUUGACCACAAGAUCAGUUCUCUCCGUGAACAUAAAGACAAAAUCGCUGUGACACCAACAGACAGAUUUUUUAACAAGUGGAAUCCAUGUCUCAUGUAAACAAUGUGCUACUGCCUGCCAUUGAGUUCUCUUCCCUCGUUUUCCUUUUUGAAGACUUAACCCCUUUCCCAAAGGGACAUGUGCUCAGGUUUCUUGACUCCACAGCAAUCCCUUCUGUUGUGUAAGGCAAACUGAUCACCUUUCACAACGAGACAAGAAGUGAUUUAAAUCAGAUGGUGACCCAAUGACAAUGUCUGUGCUGUGUCCUAUGGAGAAAACCAAAGCUGAAAUCCAGUAACAGGUGAUAGGAAGAUGUGGAGAUAGAAACUGACCUGAAUUCUGAAAAACAACAAGAGAAAAGGAAGUCUGAGAACAAGCUGGUGUUCUUCCAAAACCUGUUCAUUGUGUGAAUUCCUAGAAGAUAGCGUGACACCGAGAAACAGGCUGGAGUGACACACCCAAACAAUUAUGCUACCUGGAUCUGCCAAGGCAGGAGGACAAACUCAGCAGCCUGGAGAAUGGAGGACACAGUCCAGAGUUGGUGAGCCAAGUUUUCUUCUGUUUGUUUUGCUGUUGCUGUUUUUGUUCUUGUUGACCUAUUGAGUUCUAUGAUGAGACCAAACGUUUAAUAAUUGUCUUCUAUUCUAAAACUUGUCUCUCAGCAACAACAGCAGCAAUUACUUUUGACCACUCACUAUCGGAAAACACUGCUUUAGGCUGUGGAAAUGCAGUAGUAGAAAAGCCAGGCAUAAUCCUUAUCCCCAUGGAGGCACUAUCUCCAUCCAAGGGCAGAGGACCUGCAAGCCCUGAGGUCUCCAGCUGAGGUUCCUCUCUGAAGGACAGUUGCACUUCAGGUCAUGCUGCAGUAUGAGAGAAGGCAGCGUGACAUCUUGAGUUUCUAAUGCUCACACCUGUCUCAGUGAAGCAUUUUUACAGAGUAAUCACCACCCCCCUCACACCCCCAACAAUGUCAUCAAGUCAUAAAUCUCCUUGGUUUGAAAUAUUGGAUUAAAAUAUGAUUAAACAAUAUGUCUCAAUGGAAAGUUAAGAUA